Crotalus tigris (Tiger rattlesnake) is the source of this 5376-nucleotide long non-coding RNA. RefSeq lists it as uncharacterized. The record is from RefSeq and is a predicted model, not a curated record. The transcript is spliced from 3 exons. NCBI's taxonomy places the organism in Eukaryota, Metazoa, Chordata, Lepidosauria, Squamata, Viperidae.
GCUCUCACGCCCCAUCGCGCACAGUUGAUGCUGCAGGGGGCAGGCAGAGGGCGUGGCUGCCAUGGCGCUGCUGGGCUGCCUGGGCGAUCUGCGGCAGGUCUUGGAGGUGGUGAGUGGACCUGCGGCAGGCAGGAUGGGAGAUGGGGUGGGAGCGGGGCAGGGCAGAGGGUAGAAUGGGGGUGGGGCCAGUUUUGGGGCACUUGGUCUCUAAAAGGUUCGCCAUCACUACCAUAUAGCAUAUUGCAAAAGGGUCAACCCAUUUUCAUUGUUGGAAACUUGUUUUACUCAGGUCCCACAAAAAUCCAAAUAUUUGCCUUUCAGCAUUUCUUCUUUUGAAAACACAGCUGGUAGGGAUUUCCAUCUUCCAAUAAAUCUGCAGCACUAGCCUUCACACAUGAAUUAGCAAAGUACUGAGUUCUUUGGAAUGGAAAGGUGACCUGAAAUAGCUGACUACAAGAAAAGCAAGGCACACGUCUCCCCAGGGUCUGUGAAGCCCCUCCAAAAAGGUUAGAAGCUUCUGAACAGCUGAUCUGUAGUGACAACUUAGAAAAGCUUAGGCCACCCUUUCUACAGUAUGGGCACAAGUGAUCGACAGGAAUUUAACUUUGAUUUCAUUCCUGCUUUUAUGCAAUCCACAAGAAAUCCACUAGGCAUUUACCUCUUUUUCAUUCUUUUUUUCCAUGAGUAAAAACUUUGCCAGCACAGCAUAAAUAAACUGCAACUUUUUUUUUUAACUAGGGAUUGUUGCAGCCAAAUGUGAGAACGAACUGUUCUCUUUCACUUUUGCUGAAAGGGAGGGAAAAGCUCUGUAGAAUUGUAGUGGGGAAUCUAGUACAAUCCUCUCCUAUGUCUAGCUGACUGUUGGAAAACAAUGGCUGAGGCAUGCUACAGAGUGGCUUCAUUCAUACAUUCUAAAAACCUAAAUCAUAGUUAACAAGCAGUAGUUAUGCAAUGUAAACUAAAAAAAUCGUAUAAUGCAACUUAAUACAAUGGGCAGGGCUCACAAAAUAUGCCAAGAUACGGUUUGAUUUUGGUUUAGGCACUGUUGCUUGUUACUAAUGAAUUAGCAUGUUUAUGAACUCCAGCAGUGCAAAAGGCAACAUUCAUUUCAAAACACCAAUACAUUAAAGAAAUUACUAAACAACUCAUUACACAAAACUAAAGCAAUGUUUACAAGACUAGCUAUGAUAAAAAUAAAUAAAAGCAUAUUAUGUCUUAAUGCACAGUAUGAAUCAGGAUACCAUAUUAGGCCAUAAUAAAACAUGCCUUUCUUGGAGAGAAUCUAUUUGGUUGCUAAGAGUCAUCACCAAUUUGACAGCACAUAAUUCAUCCAAUUGAUCUUUUUGUUACAACGUAUUAUAUGAAUAGCAUCUUUGGUUCAUUAAGUGUGGAUUAUGAUUUAGAAUGGUGUACAAACUCAGCCAUUCCUAUUUUGUGGAAACAAGUCUUUUUCUAAGAGAGACACUCUUGGCAGAUACUAAAAACUUACACCAUCUAGGUUCCUUCCACUAAAGACCAACCAGUAAUCAUUAUUAAAACACAGCUCUGUCCAAGACAUAGUAUGCCUCUUAGUUCCGUAACUUUGACAUUCUAUUAGUUAUUGUUGACCCAAGAGUUUUAUGUCGUUUAGAAUUGGCACACAAUCAGCAGGGGACACUGCGACCUACCAGCCACAGCUUCCAACAGCCCUAAACAUAGCCAGUGCAAAGAGAUACACCGACUUGCUUUUAGCAUCAUAUGCUUCCCUUGUAGCAUUUCCCCAAAUUCAAUUCCGAGACAUUGAAGAUUCCUAGGCACUAAUAGAGUUGGAGCAAAGAUUGCAACUUACAUCUUUAAAAUGUUCUGAGUCCAAGCUCUCAUCAACACAGUUAAUGCCAAGAAACUGUGAAAGUUCGAAGCAUGUAUAGCCCUCAGAUUGUCAACAAGGUUAAGAACAAGUUCCACCUUUCUUUAAUGUGAAUUUGUAUGUAAAUCAGAACUCAUACUUACAAAUGGGCUGUCUAGUACUAAAAAUGGCGGACAAUUUUCUCCUUCAAGAUGAUAGACUGCUGAAGGCAUGCUGUUUUUAUGAACUGCUGAAAACAGUUUAUAUAUUAAAAAAAUAAGCAGCUUCAGCAGUUUGUCAGCUUGAGGAAAGACAAUGUCAUCUGCCAUUUUUAGUAAUAGGAAACUCAACUGUAAGUAUGGGUUGUCCAUGUCAGAUGCUUUUAACCCAGGGGUUGUCUGUAUACCCAGGUUAACCUUAGCCACUUAUGAAAGGCUUGGAACUAAGGGGUCCAUUCUCCAAAACAUUCAGUCCUUCAUGUAUACAUGAAAGCCUAAGUCUUCAUCUAAGAGUUCUCAUUGCAUCUGGACACCAAUUAUUGGAACCUGCAUGUAUUUAACUCCACCCAUUUUAAAUGCUGUACAGCUUUUUAGGUCAGGACUGUCUUCUAAAUAAGGCACAUAAAGAUACCAGUCAUUUCUACCUCUCAAAGUGAAUGGAAACUGAGUGUAUUAAAUUAUUUCUAUGCACUUUAACUAUACUGUAUAAUAGAAAUUACUUUCCCCCCAGUCAUAUACCUCCCAAACUAAUUGCAGUCAUAUAUCUUUCUUCUUGAGCACUUUUGAUUAUUGGGGUUGCAGCCCUACUGCUUCAAUAAUUAAGUUCUUCACAAAUCAACACACCAAUCUGCUCCAAAUAUCUGGUGGCCUAGGUAAUCAAUGUAUAAAAAUAUUACCUGGCAGCUAAUUUAUCUUAAUAUCACUGUUGUGAACCAAUGCAUUGAAAAGUUGGGGGCAUCUUAAAAGUCUACAAAUGUUAUGGCAUAAACUGUCCUAAACUACAGGCAACUUCAUAUAUUAAAAUAUGGCCUAAGAAAAUAACAUAAAACUCUUGACAUAGAAGAUCUAAAUGAUUAUCCCACCCCACCCUGGAAUAAAUCUCAAAGCAUACUUUCCUCCAAAUCCCAUUUUUCCUUGGGAUUACAAUCUUUUUCACUCCAUAAUACAGCCACUACAGCAGCCAUCCAGUGGGCAGUUUACUUAUACUAAUAUUUCAUAGAUCUUUACCCCUUCCUAUGCAAGAUAAUGUGUAAACUAAUGAACAGUAGUUUAAUAUUUAGCUGCAGCAUCUCAAGAGCUUGAAAACUGCAGUUCAGAAAAAGUACCACACUGGUGUAGCAUAACUGAAAGGAUCAUUUCAUUGGUUUAUUGCUGAACACAACAUAGUCAAUAGUUUUUCCACAAUAUAGUAAGCCAAAAAUUAAUCCAAGAGUUUGAAUGCACAAAAUUUAUCAAGCCAGAAAUAAAAAAAAAUCAAAUUAAUGAAGUGUAAUUAUGCUCUGCAAAUGAAGCAACUAGAUCUUUGACCUGGAUAUUCAUACGAAUAGUUACCAAGUAUUAAACUAUAGUUUGCCAUCUACAGAUAAUCUAGUUAACCUACAACUGAGCUAUUAAUUCAGAAAAAAAUUUACUCACAGAAGAUUAAAGUUCAUAGGAAUGAGUUAAUGCUAUUUAAUUGAGCAUUAUAGGAAGUUUUAUCAAGACCCUUAAAAAAAGACUGACCUAAGAACAUAUACUAUGUCAAAUUCUAUGGGGGUUGGUGGGAUGGGGUAGCAUAGAUGGUGGCCAAACAGUUAUGAGUAAAUUUAAAAAUACUAUUAAAAGAACAAAAGAAUCUGGCAGAGUGGAACACAUUUAAAAACGCCCAGAAUUGUGACAAAUGUAGUACUCAGUCGAUGAGACUGCCGCUUUGGGGAAGUUUCCUGGAGAUGCAAUCCCCUCCUUCCUUCCAAGUUAAAAAAAAAAAAAUCAAUUUAACAGCAUCCUAUUCGAACUGACUCUCCAUUCCCCCACCCCAUCUCCAUAGGCGAGAAGAAAGCUUUGGCUUUCUUUGGCUUAAUCCACAUAACCAGAAGCCUGAGCAAUCCAAUCCCCACCCUGACCUCCUUAAGCGUCCUCUCAAUAAAGGUGCCGCUCCUCCGCUAAAAUACAUGCAGUGACUUAUCCAGCGGCAUGUCCUGCCGUGCAGCCGUUGGCCCUUUAAUUCCCGGGGAAGCCGGAGACCGACUAUUACUUUUAGGAAGCCCUGGUAUGCGCAUUCCGAACUACUGACACAUUUUCCGCCAGCCUGGCCUCCCCGAUGAUCCCACAUCCCGGCCCGAAGGACACCUCCACACGGACACGGAGUCCCCACCCACCCCGAAGAGAAGGCUGGGGUAAAUCAUGAGAGGCUGGGAUCCAACUUGUAAGCUGAGACUCUUAAGGCAUGGCCACCCACUUAUGGGCACGUGAGCUGGCUGAAUAGGAGGACUGCCACUUUUUCUUGAAGGCUCCACUGGCAGACAGACCUAUGAAAUGCAAGCAAAGAAAACCCAGGACAAGAAGAGCUGAGCCAGCAGAUUCUUCAGAUUGCAUUGCAUUGUUUAACCAAUGCAUGGGAGUUAAUUUCCAGGAGAGGAAAAUAUCACUUAGCUUGCAACACUGAAUUGAACAGCAAACCCCAAUUAAACCAUUUCUUUAUCUUCUUAUAAAUAUUAUUUACACGCAGCAAGGCAAAUCUAAAUAACUGCUCCUGGGGUAUGAAAAUUUCAAGUAUAUUUCACAGAUCUAUAUUGUAUGUUUUUUUUAAAAAAAAACACAGUUUACAUAGUAGAAGUAUUAUACGUCUUAAUAUUUUAUAAUUUUUCUAGUGAGCUCCAAACUGGACCCUUUGAACUCUACUAUCAAAUCUGGAAGCAGCAAACUGACAAAAAUUGUAGUAUAAGCCUAAGAAAGGGUUAUAUAUUGCUUUGAAUGCUGCAUUAUAAAACCUGCUCUCUUCUUAAAAAGAAAAGCAGGAUGCAAAUAUUUUAAAUUAAAGAAUUCUCUAAACCAGGGUUAGGAUACUGGUCCUACUGAUGAAAUAACAUGUGACAUAAACGCAUCUUCCACUCCUUGGUGUUUCCCUCCAUCAGUGCCUCAGAUACAUACUCCAAAGCCUGCUCAAUGAAAAACUAUUAAAUAAGCCUUUGGGUAACCCACAGAUUACUGCUCUCCAACAUAAAAGGAGGGCACUGCAGUGAAAUGUUUCUCAACCGUGGCAAUUUUAAGAUGUCUGGACAUCAUCUCUCAGCAUUCCACAGCCAGCAUAGUUGCCAAGCUUGGUAAGCACUGCUGCAGUGGGUCACAUUUAAACUAUUCCCAGGAUAUGCAUAUGAAGGCAGCGAUGAGGACACUGACAUUAACACUGAAAUACCCAUCUGCAAAGGAGAAAAAGCAUAAGGCUCCUGGUUGGUGCUUCAUGGCUAAUCCUAGAGCAGUGAUGGCGAACCUAUGGCACGGGUGCCAGAGGCGGCACUCAGAGGCCUCUCUGUGGGCAUGUGCGCCGUUGCCCCAGUCCUAGGCCUUCAGCUG